RNAcentral lists this ribosomal RNA (253 nucleotides) under uncultured bacterium. Its description in RNAcentral is "partial 16S ribosomal RNA". It matches the Rfam family "Bacterial small subunit ribosomal RNA", at positions 524 to 776 of the family's 1533-position model. The record is from RNAcentral.
GACGAAGGGGGCUAGCGUUGUUCGGAAUUACUGGGCGUAAAGCGCACGUAGGCGGCUUUGUAAGUAAGAGGUGAAAGCCUGGAGCUCAACUCCAGAACUGCCUUUUAGACUGCAUCGCUUGAAUCCAGGAGAGGUGAGUGGAAUUCCGAGUGUAGAGGUGAAAUUCGUAGAUAUUCGGAAGAACACCAGUGGCGAAGGCGGCUCACUGGACUGGUAUUGACGCUGAGGUGCGAAAGCGUGGGGAGCGAACAGG